RNAcentral lists this ribosomal RNA (253 nucleotides) under uncultured bacterium. RNAcentral describes it as "partial 16S ribosomal RNA". It matches the Rfam family "Bacterial small subunit ribosomal RNA", at positions 524 to 776 of the family's 1533-position model. The record is from RNAcentral.
UACGGAGGGAGCUAGCGUUGUUCGGAAUUACUGGGCGUAAAGCGCGCGUAGGCGGCUUUGUAAGUUAGAGGUGAAAGCCCGGAGCUCAACUCCGGAAUUGCCUUUAAGACUGCAUCGCUUGAAUCCGGGAGAGGUGAGUGGAAUUCCGAGUGUAGAGGUGAAAUUCGUAGAUAUUCGGAAGAACACCAGUGGCGAAGGCGGCUCACUGGACCGGUAUUGACGCUGAGGUGCGAAAGCGUGGGGAGCAAACAGG